Molecule: ribosomal RNA, 465 nt
Filed under: Vreelandella stevensii
Lineage: Bacteria; Pseudomonadati; Pseudomonadota; Gammaproteobacteria; Oceanospirillales; Halomonadaceae
Description: partial 16S ribosomal RNA
Rfam family: Bacterial small subunit ribosomal RNA
Source: RNAcentral
CCUACGGGGGGCUGCAGUGGGGAAUAUUGGACAAUGGGCGAAAGCCUGAUCCAGCCAUGCCGCGUGUGUGAAGAAGGCCUUCGGGUUGUAAAGCACUUUCAGUGGGGAAGAAAGCCUUGGGGCUAAUACCCUCGAGGAAGGACAUCACCCACAGAAGAAGCACCGGCUAACUCCGUGCCAGCAGCCGCGGUAAUACGGAGGGUGCGAGCGUUAAUCGGAAUUACUGGGCGUAAAGCGCGCGUAGGCGGUCUGAUAAGCCGGUUGUGAAAGCCCCGGGCUCAACCUGGGAACGGCAUCCGGAACUGUCAGGCUAGAGUGUAGGAGAGGAAGGUAGAAUUCCCGGUGUAGCGGUGAAAUGCGUAGAGAUCGGGAGGAAUACCAGUGGCGAAGGCGGCCUUCUGGACUGACACUGACGCUGAGGUGCGAAAGCGUGGGUAGCAAACAGGAUUAGAUACCCGAGUAGUC